GCCCAUUGUGGGCCAAGGGAUCCUCCGCCUGGCGUCCCUGAUACCUUGUGUGACUCUGAGGAGAGGCUCAAGAGCAGCCGAAGCCCCGUGCAGACUCCAGGAAAGCACCACCAUCUGUGACAGGCUGCCAGGCAUCAGGACACGGCCACUGGAGCACCUCAGCCCUGGUUUUUCUCCUCUCAGGAAAAAAAAAAUCCACUUGCUCUCAAAGGGCUCCUUCUGCCUGGGGUGACAUUGGCCUGCAAGCUCCAGCUAGAGCAGUUUUCUGGGAGGAAGAAUAGAGGUAACCUGGGAUCAAUAUUGAUGAAGCCGUGAUUAAUUGACUGAUGGCCGAAUGAUUACAAACUUCUGUCUGAGGCAGCUACUCAAAUGUAUUAGCUUUGACCAAAUGGGGGGGGGAAAUAAAUUAAAGCAAAAAAAAAAAAAAUACAAACUGGGUCAAUGAAAAAAAAAAUGCAUUCAAAUCAAUUUUUAAUAGCACUUAAGAUUUUAUGAUUUUUUAAACUUUCCUCUGAAUAAUUAAUCAGAAAAAUGAAUCUAAUUUAAACAAGGUGGUGUAAGGUGUUCUGUAUCUGUU
Molecule: long non-coding RNA, 577 nt
Organism: Pogoniulus pusillus (Red-fronted tinkerbird)
Lineage: Eukaryota; Metazoa; Chordata; Aves; Piciformes; Lybiidae
Exons: 3
Source: RefSeq, a predicted model, not a curated record